RNAcentral lists this ribosomal RNA (1480 nucleotides) under metagenome. RNAcentral's name for it is "bacterial LSU rRNA". It matches the Rfam family "Bacterial large subunit ribosomal RNA", at positions 1457 to 2925 of the family's 2925-position model. The record is from RNAcentral.
CCAAGCGAUGGGGUGACGCAGGAAGGUAGCUGGGCCAGUCAGUGGUUGUACUGGUGUAAGAGUGUAGGCCGUGACAUAGGCAAAUCCGUGUCACAUUAAGGCUGAGACUUGAUGCAUACCCGUUGUGGGGAAUUCAGUGAUCCUAUGCUGCCGAGAAAAGCCUCUAGUGAGUUCAUACACGGCCCGUACCCCAAACUGACACAGGUGAUCAGGUAGAGAAUACCAAGGCGAUCGAGAGAACUGUGGUUAAGGAACUCGGCAAAAUGCCCCCGUAACUUCGGGAGAAGGGGGACCAUGCCCGGUGAACAUCUUCACGGUGGGAGCUGGGUGUGGUCGCAGAGACCAGAGAGAAGCGACUGUUUACUAAAAACACAGGUCCGUGCGAAGACGUAAGUCGAUGUAUACGGACUGACGCCUGCCCGGUGCUGGAAGGUUAAGAGGACCGGUUAGCCGUAAGGCGAAGCUGAGAAUUUAAGCCCCAGUAAACGGCGGUGGUAACUAUAACCAUCCUAAGGUAGCGAAAUUCCUUGUCGGGUAAGUUCCGACCUGCACGAAUGGCGUAACGACUUCUCUGCUGUCUCGACCACAGACUCGGCGAAAUUGCACUACGAGUAAAGAUGCUCGUUACGCGCGGCAGGACGAAAAGACCCCGGGACCUUUACUAUAGCUUGGUAUUGGCGUUCGAUUCGGUUUGUGUAGGAUAGGUGGGAGACUGUGAAGCAUGCACGCCAGUGUGUGUGGAGUCGUUGUUGAAAUACCACUCUGAUCGUAUUGGACGUCUAACCUCGGCCCAUGAUCUGGGUUAGGGACAGUGCCUGGUGGGUAGUUUAACUGGGGCGGUUGCCUCCUAAAGAGUAACGGAGGCGCCCAAAGGUUCCCUCAGCCUGGAUGGCAAUCAGGUGUUGAGUGCAAGUGCACAAGGGAGCUUGACUGUGAGACUGACACGUCGAGCAGGGACGAAAGUCGGGACUAGUGAUCCGGCACCGGCAAGUGGAAGCGGUGUCGCUCAACGGAUAAAAGGUACCCCGGGGAUAACAGGCUGAUCUUCCCCAAGAGUCAUAUCGACGGGAUGGUUUGGCACCCCGAUGUCGGCUCGUCGCAUCCUGGGGCUGGAGUAGGUCCCAAGGGUUGGGCUGUUCGCCCAUUAAAGCGGCACGCGAGCUGGGUUUAGAACGUCGUGAGACAGUUCGGUCUCUAUCCGCCGCGCGCGUAAGAAACUUGAGGAAGGCUGUCCCUAGUACGAGAGGACCGGGACGGACGAACCUCUGGUGUGCCAGUUGUUCCACCAGGAGCAUGGCUGGUUAGCUACGUUCGGAAGGGAUAACCGCUGAAAGCAUCUAAGCGGGAAGCCUGUUCCAAGAUGAGGUUUCUCACCACCUUGCGUGGUUAAGGCCCCCUACAGACCAUGGGGUUGAUAGGCCGGAACUGGAAGCGCAGCAAUGCGUGGAGGUGACCGGUACUAAUAGGCCGAGGGCUUACC